ACUGAAAAAACGAAUAGAAACCUGUGCUCCCUCCUUCACGCGGCAAUUCCCCUUGUAGCGUUCGUGGUUCGCAAGCAGCCUCCGAUUAGGUUUCGGUUCUCAAAUCUGCUCCUCUAAUGGCGACGGUAGCAUCUGCUGGAAUCAAUGACAUUAGUAAUAGCAAGAAUUCGCUCGGAGAAAACCCUAGUCAAACCCUAGACCCGACGAUUUCUUCCUCGGCCCAGCCUCCUGUCUCUGUUCCGCUGUCGUCAACUGAUGGCGGGUCUUCCAAGGAAAUGGAUGAAUCUAAGGGCUCCGAUAAGACGUCGGUUGAAGGUGAUGGCGAACCUGUUUCUGAUGUCCAGAGGAAAAUGCGCCGUGCUGAGCGUUUUGGGAUUUCGGUGCAAUUGUCUGAAGAAGAAAAACGUAAUUCUCGAGCAGAACGGUUUGGUAUGGGCACCACAACUAAUGGAUUGGGAGCAUCAAAUAAGUCAGAGGAGGUGAAGAGAAAGGCUAGAGCUGAGAGAUUUGGGCUUCCUGCAUCUGUGGCCACUGAUGAUGAGGCAAAGAAGAAAGCUCGACUUGGUAGGUUUUCUUCAACAUCAAAGCCAGACUCCCAGGAGGAAGAAAAGAGGAAAGCGAGGGCAAUCAGGUUUUCUAAUCCAACAUCAAACUCCCUCACACAAGUGGAUGGGAAGGGAAACAUUGAGACGAUUGCAGAUAUUGCAGGCAAGGCUGGAGGUGGUGCCUGAAAAGAACAUUCCCUGUUUGAUGGCAAGGUAGCUUUUGCUUGUAAUUUUCUUCUGUUGGUCUAAUAGCCUGGUUAUAAUUCCCCGUAAUGGCUUCCAUACCCAUGUUCAUUCCUUUAUAUUAUUAUCUAGUUCCAAAGUCUUCCAUUCUGAGGGCAGAAUCAAUACUGCAAGGUGCUUUGCUCCAUGUUUCGCUGAGAUGAGGUUCCCUAGAUUCAGUUGUGUCAGGUUAUUAAUUCUCUGGUUAGGUGUUAUAGUAAUAGAAAAUACCUCCCUAGGUCAAGCCUAUCUUACAGUUUGUUAAGAAUAUCAGAAAUCUCUGAAUUUUUUAUCCCUCCAAUGUUUUGGUUAUCAUCUUCAGUUUAUAUCUCCCUUGUGAUGGCAAGUUGGAUGUUCAUGAUACCAUUUGAAUGGCAGUGCUAGGUUUCCAUGUGCAUUGUUUCCAUCUGAUACUCACUGGUUGAAAUUUACUAAUUUUGUUGAAUUCGCCUUUGGGAUUAGAAAGCUAACAGUUUCUUGUUUUACUUUGAGUUAAUAUAAUCAGGUUUUUAGUUUUAUAGCUAUAAUUUAGUUUGGAUUUUAGGCUGUUUCUUUUUAAUGGUAGGUUUUUCUUUUUGCUGACUGUAAUAAUGUAAGAUUAAUGUCCAAUCAUUUACGAUUGAGUUUUGGUUUCUUUGUGUGAUGCCACCACAUCUCAUCUCAUAGCAUCAGUGAUAAUUACUCAUCAUGGAAUUUACUUCUACACUUUUUAGAUGCCUAGUUUUAGUAUGACCUGAAGAAUAGUUCAAUUAGAAUGGUCGUAUGUUGAAUCUUAUUUAGAAAUGCCGUUCAAAAUGUCAUCAUGAGAUAACAUCUCGAACUUGUGUGAGAAUAAACUGAAGAUAAGUCUUGGGAGGGGAAGUAAUUAUCUAUUCCCUUGGUAAGUUGUCGUGUGGGAGAAGCUGAAUUCCCUCUUCUAACUUGGAAGUUUCUGAUAUUCUUGCUUGGUAAUAUAGGAUGGACCGAGUCUAUGGAGGUAUUUGUUGUGGCCCUCUUAGAAGUCUCUGCAUGUAUUGAGGCCUGUAGCUGAGAAUGGAUUGUGUACUCUAAAAAUAGGUGUCUCUGUCAAGUCUCUGUUGUUUCUUUCUUCGUUUCCUUUUAUCUUAUUUUGCAUAGCUAGUCAGCAGCUACGUGUAUUUAGUUUCUUUUGGAUUUUUGGUUGGAUGUAAUGGUAUGGAAUGGCCGCAACAUUUAUCGAGGGAAUCAAUCUUUUGAUCAAAAGUUCUUUUUAGAUA
RNA transcript from Cucurbita maxima (winter squash), 2002 nucleotides. It is a transcript of the gene named protein MODIFIER OF SNC1 11-like, with no coding region annotated. Lineage: Eukaryota; Viridiplantae; Streptophyta; Magnoliopsida; Cucurbitales; Cucurbitaceae. The transcript has 6 exons. The record is from RefSeq and is a predicted model, not a curated record.